RNAcentral lists this transfer RNA (83 nucleotides) under Georgenia sp. TF02-10. Its description in RNAcentral is "tRNA-Leu". It matches the Rfam family "tRNA". From Rfam's summary of the family: Transfer RNA (tRNA) molecules are approximately 80 nucleotides in length. Their secondary structure includes four short double-helical elements and three loops (D, anti-codon, and T loops). Lineage: Bacteria; Bacillati; Actinomycetota; Actinomycetes; Allobogoriellales; Allobogoriellaceae. The record is from RNAcentral.
GCUCCUGUGGUGGAACCGGGCAGACGCGCCGCCCUCAAGCAGCGGUGCCGACAGGCGUGCGGGUUCGGGUCCCGCCAGGAGCA